Molecule: ribosomal RNA, 465 nt
Filed under: Vreelandella stevensii
Lineage: Bacteria; Pseudomonadati; Pseudomonadota; Gammaproteobacteria; Oceanospirillales; Halomonadaceae
Description: partial 16S ribosomal RNA
Rfam family: Bacterial small subunit ribosomal RNA
Source: RNAcentral
CCUACGGGGAGCAGCAGUGGGGAAUAUUGGACAAUGGGCGAAAGCCUGAUCCAGCCAUGCCGCGUGUGUGAAGAAGGCCUUCGGGUUGUAAAGCACUUUCAGUGGGGAAGAAAGCCUUGGGGCUAAUACCCUCGAGGAAGGACAUCACCCACAGAAGAAGCACCGGCUAACUCCGUGCCAGCAGCCGCGGUAAUACGGAGGGUGCGAGCGUUAAUCGGAAUUACUGGGCGUAAAGCGCGCGUAGGCGGUCUGAUAAGCCGGUUGUGAAAGCCCCGGGCUCAACCUGGGAACGGCAUCCGGAACUGUCAGGCUAGAGUGCAGGAGAGGAAGGUAGAAUUCCCGGUGUAGCGGUGAAAUGCGUAGAGAUCGGGAGGAAUACCAGUGGCGAAGGCGGUCUUCUGGACUGACACUGACGCUGAGGUGCGAAAGCGUGGGUAGCAAACAGGAUUAGAUACCCUGGUAGUC